This 449-nucleotide ribosomal RNA is filed under the name uncultured organism. RNAcentral's name for it is "partial 16S ribosomal RNA". It matches the Rfam family "Bacterial small subunit ribosomal RNA", at positions 332 to 797 of the family's 1533-position model. The record is from RNAcentral.
UACACUCCUACGGGAGGCAGCAGUGGGGAAUAUUGGACAAUGGGCGCAAGCCUGAUCCAGCCAUGCCGCGUGAGUGAUGAAGGCCCUAGGGUUGUAAAGCUCUUUCACCGGUGAAGAUAAUGACGGUAACCGGAGAAGAAGCCCCGGCUAACUUCGUGCCAGCAGCCGCGGUAAUACGAAGGGGGCUAGCGUUGUUCGGAUUUACUGGGCGUAAAGCGCACGUAGGCGGACUAUUAAGUCAGGGGUGAAAUCCCGGGGCUCAACCCCGGAACUGCCUUUGAUACUGGUAGUCUUGAGUUCGAGAGAGGUGAGUGGAAUUCCGAGUGUAGAGGUGAAAUUCGUAGAUAUUCGGAGGAACACCAGUGGCGAAGGCGGCUCACUGGCUCGAUACUGACGCUGAGGUGCGAAAGCGUGGGGAGCAAACAGGAUUAGAAACCCCAGUAGUCCCA